AUCCCGCUGACGAGUCCCGAAUAGGACGAAACGUGCGUCCUGGAU
This 45-nucleotide non-coding RNA is filed under the name Schistosoma mansoni. Lineage: Eukaryota; Metazoa; Platyhelminthes; Trematoda; Strigeidida; Schistosomatidae. The record is from RNAcentral.